AUGCAAGAAUUCGGAGAUGUGUACUGCUCGGUUGAGAAGUGGUGCGAAUUGGUGGGAAAAUUCACACCCAGACAGCGCAUGAUGCUACGUGGCACAAAUUUGGACAGUAUGUUGAGAAUUCCUUCAGUGAAAAUGAGGAAAAAUUUAUUGGAAUUUAUGAUUACAACGUAUGAUAGUAGUAGAAAGCGAUUUAUUAUUCAGCCAAAUACUGACGGCAUCAGUGUGCUUAAUGAAGAUGUUUAUGACAUAUUCGGGCUACGUAACGAGGGUGAUGAUGUCAAUAGCAUGAUAGCAACAGUACAACUAAACGCCAAAAAAUUGUUCCGAAUCGGUUUUUAG
RNAcentral lists this ribosomal RNA (339 nucleotides) under Triticum aestivum (bread wheat). RNAcentral describes it as "partial small subunit ribosomal RNA". Lineage: Eukaryota; Viridiplantae; Streptophyta; Magnoliopsida; Poales; Poaceae. The record is from RNAcentral.